AAGCAGAGGGGGCUUAGUGGUGGGGUGACUGCGUACCUUUUGUAUAAUGGGUCAGCGACUUAUAUUCUGUAGCAAGGUUAACCGAAUAGGGGAGCCGGAGGGAAACCGAGUCUUAAUUGGGCGUUAAGUUGCAGGGUAUAGACCCGAAACCCGGUGAUCUAGCCAUGGGCAGGUUGAAGGUUGGGUAACACUAACUGGAGGACCGAACCGACUAAUGUUGAAAAAUUAGCGGAUGACCUGUGGCUGGGGGUGAAAGGCCAAUCAAACCGGGAGAUAGCUGGUUCUCCCCGAAAGCUAUUUAGGUAGCGCCUCGUGAAUUCAUCUCCGGGGGUAGAGCACUGUUUCGGCUAGGGGGUCAUCCCGACUUACCAACCCGAUGCAAACUGCGAAUACCGGAGAAUGUUAUCACGGGAGACACACGGCGGGUGCUAACGUCCGUCGUGAAGAGGGAAACAACCCAGACCGCCAGCUAAGGUCCCAAAGUCAUGGUUAAGUGGGAAACGAUGUGGGAAGGCCCAGACAGCCAGGAUGUUGGCUUAGAAGCAGCCAUCAUUUAAAGAAAGCGUAAUAGCUCACUGGUCGAGUCGGCCUGCGCGGAAGAUGUAACGGGGCUAAACCAUGCACCGAAGCUGCGGCAGCGACACUGUGUGUUGUUGGGUAGGGGAGCGUUCUGUAAGCCGUUGAAGGUGUGUCGUGAGGCAUGCUGGAGGUAUCAGAAGUGCGAAUGCUGACAUAAGUAACGAUAAUGCGGGUGAAAAACCCGCACGCCGGAAGACCAAGGGUUCCUGUCCAACGUUAAUCGGGGCAGGGUGAGUCGACCCCUAAGGCGAGGCCGAAAGGCGUAGUCGAUGGGAAACGGGUUAAUAUUCCCGUACUUGGUGUUACUGCGAAGGGGGGACGGAGAAGGCUAUGUUGGCCGGGCGACGGUUGUCCCGGUUUAAGCGUGUAGGUGUGUGUUCCAGGUAAAUCCGGUUCACUUUAACACUGAGGCGUGAUGACGAGGCACUACGGUACUGAAGCAACAAAUGCCCUGCUUCCAGGAAAAGCCUCUAAGCAUCAGGUAACAUCAAAUCGUACCCCAAACCGACACAGGUGGUCAGGUAGAGAAUACCAAGGCGCUUGAGAGAACUCGGGUGAAGGAACUAGGCAAAAUGGUGCCGUAACUUCGGGAGAAGGCACGCUGACA
RNAcentral lists this ribosomal RNA (1186 nucleotides) under Salmonella enterica. Its description in RNAcentral is "partial 23S ribosomal RNA". It matches the Rfam family "Bacterial large subunit ribosomal RNA", at positions 568 to 1756 of the family's 2925-position model. Lineage: Bacteria; Pseudomonadati; Pseudomonadota; Gammaproteobacteria; Enterobacterales; Enterobacteriaceae. RNAcentral also lists the same sequence under 1 other name. The record is from RNAcentral.